Molecule: ribosomal RNA, 253 nt
Filed under: uncultured bacterium
Lineage: Bacteria
Description: partial 16S ribosomal RNA
Rfam family: Bacterial small subunit ribosomal RNA
Source: RNAcentral
UACGUAGGGUGCGAGCGUUAAUCGGAAUUACUGGGCGUAAGGCGUGCGCAGGCGGUUCGUUAUGUCCGAUGUGAAAGCCCCGAGCUCAACUUGGGAAUGGCAUUGGAAACUGGCGGGCUGGAGUGUGGCAGAGGGGGGUGGAAUUCCACGUGUAGCAGUGAAAUGCGUAGAGAUGUGGAGGAACACCGAUGGCGAAGGCAGCCCCCUGGGCCAACACUGACGCUCAGGCACGAAAGCGUGGGGAGCAAACAGG